This 1312-nucleotide long non-coding RNA is filed under the name Struthio camelus australis. RNAcentral's name for it is "lncRNA (ENSSCUG00000012658.1)". The record is from RNAcentral. Lineage: Eukaryota; Metazoa; Chordata; Aves; Struthioniformes; Struthionidae.
CUGUCCUGCAGUGAACAUUAUCUAACUCUUAGCGAAGGAAUGUUGGUUUUUUUCACCUCUCUUGAUAAAACAAUGGUCUUAACCCAAACCUUUUCUUCACAGAGUUGAAUCUGAACAUCUCUGUGUGUCCCCAGUUAGAGCAAUAACACUGUUAUUACUUUACUCGGUCCUGGGCUUUCAUUUACUCGAUGCUUCACGCAGCAAAUGAAUCCCUUUGCUUUUGUUAGGGGCGGAGGGGGGGGGGGAGAGAGAGGGAGAGAGGGAUGAAAAACAUAAGCAAAACAGGAAGCAAUGACAAGAUGUGGUUUUAUUGGAUUAUUAGCCCUGGAGCAUGGGGUUUUCAUGAUAUGAUAUUUUUAAGGUGGUAGUAUCCAAAGGUCAUUGAAAGUGUCAGGUCUGUGAUACGUUAGACUGAUAUCUUGAAAUUCAGCUGCUUGAUCAUGUAGCUUAUUGAAAGCUGAAUAUUAGGUUAUCAGCAUGCAUUAUGGUGGCUUGACUUACAGGGAUGUGAUGGAGAGUUUAUUCUUGUUAUGUAAAAUUUAUUGUGCAAUUUUCUUUGGUAAUUCAGGAGUCCGCCACAAGCCAGUGAACUUUGACGUGGAGAGGCACGUGGCAGAGCCAGGCUGUAAAGGCUUCAAGUUAUUUUGCUGGGGCAGAACCCCCUUCACCUGGGCACAAACUCAAGUGUGAACUUUCUUCAAGGUCUUGUGCAACUUAUCCAGGAUCAGAGCCUACAGCAAACAGCACUUCAGCCACAACAGUUCAGCAGCUUGAAGAUGUUGGUUCAUCAUUUUACAGGUCAAAUUCUGAAUGAAGAUAAUUCAUUGUGUGGUCCAUAAGAUGCAGCAAUUAGCACAGACUGUAUAUCGGGGCAGGUGCUUUCCUCCAGCUUGGAGUGUGUCUGGAUCCUUGGCUUGGGUCAUAUCUCCAUCCUCAUUCUGUUUUAACCUGAGGUUUUCCCACUGCAGUGAGAGGAAGAGGCACCAGGAAACUGCUCCACUUUCUCCCACACGUGGCUGGAGGUGGGUGACGACUUGGCAGAUCUUUGGCUCGGGAUCAGAGGCAGCAGCCUGGGAGAGGAGGACUCCUGUGCCGGGAGGAUGUAGCAUCUCCUCCUCUUCUCUUUGUGCAAGGGAGGCCUCGGACACCAGUCUAAGAAGAAGCUAAAGGACAUGCAAUAUUCUUGCAAAAUCAUCCCAUGAAGAGUAAAGGAACUAAAGAAGCCAGAAAUUAGGUAUACAAAAUUAUUCUUUGUUCUUAUUAUUUUUAUCUAGUACUUCAAAUAAUCCCCUGGAGAAAAAUAAGAUUCUAG